UUCUACUUUGUUGUACUAUUUAGCAUAGUAGCUUUUCGUGCUACGGGUGAUAUUUUAUCAAGUAGGGU
This 68-nucleotide transfer RNA is filed under the name Schistocephalus solidus. RNAcentral describes it as "tRNA-Glu". The record is from RNAcentral. Lineage: Eukaryota; Metazoa; Platyhelminthes; Cestoda; Diphyllobothriidea; Diphyllobothriidae.